RNAcentral lists this transfer-messenger RNA (353 nucleotides) under Siminovitchia acidinfaciens. Its description in RNAcentral is "Bacillus sp. 3-2-2 partial transfer-messenger RNA". It matches the Rfam family "transfer-messenger RNA". From Rfam's summary of the family: Bacterial tmRNA, also known as 10Sa RNA or SsrA, is named for its dual tRNA and mRNA-like properties. Its role is to liberate the mRNA from a stalled ribosome. Lineage: Bacteria; Bacillati; Bacillota; Bacilli; Caryophanales; Bacillaceae. The record is from RNAcentral.
CUGGAUUCGACGGGAUUUGCGAAACCCAAGGUGCAUGCCGAGGGGCGGUUGGCCUCGUAAAAAGCCGCAAAAAAUAGUCGCAAACGACGAAAACUACGCUUUAGCAGCUUAAUAACCUGCUUAGAGCCCUCUCUCCCUAGCCUCCGCUCUUAGGACGGGGAUCAAGAGAGGUCAAACCCAAAAGAGAUCGCGUGGAAGCCCUGCCUGGGGUUGAAGCGUUAAAACUUAAUCAGGCUAGUUUGUUAGUGGCGUGUCCGUCCGCAGCUGGCAAGCGAAUGUAAAGACUGACUAAGCAUGUAGUACCGAGGAUGUAGGAAUUUCGGACGCGGGUUCAACUCCCGCCAGCUCCACCC